Glycine soja is the source of this 1889-nucleotide long non-coding RNA. RefSeq lists it as uncharacterized. The record is from RefSeq and is a predicted model, not a curated record. NCBI's taxonomy places the organism in Eukaryota, Viridiplantae, Streptophyta, Magnoliopsida, Fabales, Fabaceae. The transcript has 2 exons.
UUUCGUUCGUUCGUCGACAUCCUCUGUUCUUGGCUUCUCGCUCGACAGUGACAAACCUACCUCUCGUUCUUGUUGAACUCGAACUUCUGGUUCUCGAAUCGAAUCCCUAAAAUCUCAUUCUUGUUGUUCUUGAAUCCGUUCUCGUUCUCGUCAAUCCCUAGCUUCUCGUCGUGCUCCUAUCGAAUCCCUAACAAAGGUAUUUUCAAUCCUUUGGUUUUUGUUGUCCGUCUAUUUCAAAUCCUUAAUCCCCAACGAUAUUUGGUGCAACAGUGUAACGAAAUGAAGCAGAGCUGAAUGCAUGCUCGAAGAUGGGGAUUUUUAGUAUGAGUUUUUCAGCUUUGUGAGCAAUUCCAUGAAUUUUGUGUUGAAACAACAAAUGGGUGUUUUUUUUUUUUUGUUUCUUGCUUCCAGGACCAUGAAUUUGGAGCAUUUGUCAUGUUUAUUCAAAUGGGGGCUUCUUGAUUACUUGGGUUUUUCUUCUGGUUUUUUUAGUAUUUGUUAUGUUUAUUCAAAUACUGUUUUUGAAGUGAUUUAACUGUGAUGCCAAUUGUCUAAUUAGUGGUGGUGUCCCUCAUUUCAUCAUUUUCUUUAUUAUGUUUGUGACAAUGUGUUGUAUCAAAUGGGUGUUUAUUCACAUUCUUUUCUUUUGUCUCUUGUGAAUGAUCAAUGUGAAGCUAAUGGUUCAAUGGCAAAACCAGCGAUUCACAAGAUAGAAGUACAACACUUUCCUCAAUUAAUUUGGAGUCCCGUGUGAACCAAAACCAGUGGGAAUUUCACUUGACAAUUAUUAUGAUGAUUUGACCAAAGUAGUGGAGGGGAAGGUCACCCCUGCUACCCGACAGAUAGAUCAUUGUCGGAGGACAGGUGCUUGAUCAGUACCGCAAUUGCUUAUCCCCUAAAAUAGUGGAAACACUUGUAUGCUUAGAAGAUUGGCUGAAAGGAUCACCUACACCAUUGCCAUCAAAAGAGGAUCUUGAAGAGAUUGACAAAAUUGAGCAAGAUAAGAUAUAUUUAAUAGAAUAUUAUUUCUUAUUUGAUUAUGACUUUGUUUAUUUUUUAUUUUUUUGCGGAAGUGGUCUCCCCAUAAUCUGCUAACUCAACCCAUAUUAUUUUGGAUGAAGAUUGAAGUUUUACUUUCAUUGGAGUACUUCAAUACCGACAACUUUUAUUGCUGCUACUAUUUUUUUUAAUCAAUGUCUAGUGUUUUAUGAAGUUUCUUUCUGCCAUUGAUAUAGAUUCAUAGGUCCAUGUAGGAUUAAGUGAAAAAGAGGAGAUAAGUAUCUGUUGGAGGUGACUAUAAAAAAUAUUGGUAACAGUUUUAAAUUAUUACUUGUUGCAUCAAAAUUGUUUUGCUGGUUGGUUGAGUUUUUGGAUGAAUAUUUGAGUAACCUAGGCUUGAUAUAGGCACGUUCUGUGAAGCUGUCCAUUUAUGACUUUGUUGGGUGUUUGUGUUCAUAUGGCUGGGUAUUUAUUAGGUACUUAUCUAGUAUGCAGUAAAACUGGCUGAAAUGUUUAUUUUCUCAGUAUAUAUGAGUAUCUUGUAUGUUAAAUGGAAUGCUUAGUUCAUAGAGAUAAGGUUCUAAUGACAUUUUCAAUCUUUGCAGAGUAUUGUUCUACCAGAUACUUUGGGAGCUUAUAAUUGGUCAAUGGAGUUGGAUCUUGAAGGAAGGAUGUUAAUCUCGUUUACCUAAAAGGACGCUACUUAUUGUGAAAGAGAGAAGAAAAUCUUGUUUUGAUGCCUUUCUCCUUUGACAAAUUAUUGUGAAUUUGUGAUUUUAUAUUUAGCUUGUCAUUCCUUGAAAGGGUAAAGUAACUCAUACUUUUUAAUUUGUGGACUUUUCUUGAGUUGGACCAAUAGUUUAAGUAAUAUAAGCAAUUUAAGAUUUUAA